CCUACGGGAGGCAGCAGUGGGGAAUAUUGCACAAUGGGGGAAACCCCGAUGCAGCGACGCCGCGUGAGCGAAGAAGUAUUUCGGUAUGUAAAGCUCUAUCAGCAGGGAAGAAAAAUGACGGUACCUGAGUAAGAAGCACCGGCUAAAUACGUGCCAGCAGCCGCGGUAAUACGUAUGGUGCAAGCGUUAUCCGGAUUUACUGGGUGUAAAGGGGGCGCAGACGGCGAUGCAAGCCAGGAGUGAAAGCCCGGGGCCCAACCCCGGGACUGCUCUUGGAACUGCGUUGCUAGAGUGCAGGAGGGGCG
RNAcentral lists this ribosomal RNA (305 nucleotides) under uncultured bacterium. RNAcentral's name for it is "bacterial SSU rRNA". It matches the Rfam family "Bacterial small subunit ribosomal RNA", at positions 338 to 659 of the family's 1533-position model. The record is from RNAcentral.